CCACUCAGCGAUGAUGAGAUCGCCACCUACGUCCUCACAAGGCUCAACAAUGACUAUGAUCCGCCGGUUACAUCUCUAACCACGGGGGUUGAGCUGGUCUCACUUAACGAGGUGCAUGCUCACUUUAUGGCAUUUGAGA
Dioscorea cayenensis subsp. rotundata (Guinea yam) is the source of this 139-nucleotide small nucleolar RNA. RefSeq annotates it as small nucleolar RNA Z247. The record is from RefSeq and is a predicted model, not a curated record. NCBI's taxonomy places the organism in Eukaryota, Viridiplantae, Streptophyta, Magnoliopsida, Dioscoreales, Dioscoreaceae. The transcript has a single exon.